RNAcentral lists this ribosomal RNA (253 nucleotides) under uncultured bacterium. RNAcentral's name for it is "partial 16S ribosomal RNA". It matches the Rfam family "Bacterial small subunit ribosomal RNA", at positions 524 to 776 of the family's 1533-position model. The record is from RNAcentral.
GACGAACCGAGCGAACGUUGUUCGGAAUCACUGGGCUUAAAGGGCGCGUAGGCGGGUAUUCAAGUCUAUGGUGAAAUCCGGCAGCUCAACUGUCGAAUUGCCGUGGAUACUGGGUAUCUCGAGGGAGGUAGGGGCGUGCGGAACUAAUGGUGGAGCGGUGAAAUGCGUUGAUAUCAUUAGGAACUCCGGUGGCGAAGGCGGCGUCCUGGACCAACACUGACACUGAUGAGCGAAAGCCAGGGGAGCAAACGGG